RNAcentral lists this ribosomal RNA (1697 nucleotides) under Escherichia coli O144. Its description in RNAcentral is "partial 23S ribosomal RNA". It matches the Rfam family "Bacterial large subunit ribosomal RNA", at positions 1 to 1744 of the family's 2925-position model. The record is from RNAcentral. Lineage: Bacteria; Pseudomonadati; Pseudomonadota; Gammaproteobacteria; Enterobacterales; Enterobacteriaceae.
AAGCGACUAAGCGUACACGGUGGAUGCCCUGGCAGUCAGAGGCGAUGAAGGACGUGCUAAUCUGCGAUAAGCGUCGGUAAGGUGAUAUGAACCGUUAUAACCGGCGAUUUCCGAAUGGGGAAACCCAGUGUGUUUCGACACACUAUCAUUAACUGAAUCCAUAGGUUAAUGAGGCGAACCGGGGGAACUGAAACAUCUAAGUACCCCGAGGAAAAGAAAUCAACCGAGAUUCCCCCAGUAGCGGCGAGCGAACGGGGAGCAGCCCAGAGCCUGAAUCAGUGUGUGUGUUAGUGGAAGCGUCUGGAAAGGCGCGCGAUACAGGGUGACAGCCCCGUACACAAAAAUGCACAUGCUGUGAGCUCGAUGAGUAGGGCGGGACACGUGGUAUCCUGUCUGAAUAUGGGGGGACCAUCCUCCAAGGCUAAAUACUCCUGACUGACCGAUAGUGAACCAGUACCGUGAGGGAAAGGCGAAAAGAACCCCGGCGAGGGGAGUGAAAAAGAACCUGAAACCGUGUACGUACAAGCAGUGGGAGCACGCUUAGGCGUGUGACUGCGUACCUUUUGUAUAAUGGGUCAGCGACUUAUAUUCUGUAGCAAGGUUAACCGAAUAGGGGAGCCGAAGGGAAACCGAGUCUUAACUGGGCGUUAAGUUGCAGGGUAUAGACCCGAAACCCGGUGAUCUAGCCAUGGGCAGGUUGAAGGUUGGGUAACACUAACUGGAGGACCGAACCGACUAAUGUUGAAAAAUUAGCGGAUGACUUGUGGCUGGGGGUGAAAGGCCAAUCAAACCGGGAGAUAGCUGGUUCUCCCCGAAAGCUAUUUAGGUAGCGCCUCGUGAAUUCAUCUCCGGGGGUAGAGCACUGUUUCGGCAAGGGGGUCAUCCCGACUUACCAACCCGAUGCAAACUGCGAAUACCGGAGAAUGUUAUCACGGGAGACACACGGCGGGUGCUAACGUCCGUCGUGAAGAGGGAAACAACCCAGACCGCCAGCUAAGGUCCCAAAGUCAUGGUUAAGUGGGAAACGAUGUGGGAAGGCCCAGACAGCCAGGAUGUUGGCUUAGAAGCAGCCAUCAUUUAAAGAAAGCGUAAUAGCUCACUGGUCGAGUCGGCCUGCGCGGAAGAUGUAACGGGGCUAAACCAUGCACCGAAGCUGCGGCAGCGACGCUUAUGCGUUGUUGGGUAGGGGAGCGUUCUGUAAGCCUGUGAAGGUGUGCUGUGAGGCAUGCUGGAGGUAUCAGAAGUGCGAAUGCUGACAUAAGUAACGAUAAAGCGGGUGAAAAGCCCGCUCGCCGGAAGACCAAGGGUUCCUGUCCAACGUUAAUCGGGGCAGGGUGAGUCGACCCCUAAGGCGAGGCCGAAAGGCGUAGUCGAUGGGAAACAGGUUAAUAUUCCUGUACUUGGUGUUACUGCGAAGGGGGGACGGAGAAGGCUAUGUUGGCCGGGCGACGGUUGUCCCGGUUUAAGCGUGUAGGCUGGUUUUCCAGGCAAAUCCGGAAAAUCAAGGCUGAGGCGUGAUGACGAGGCACUACGGUGCUGAAGCAACAAAUGCCCUGCUUCCAGGAAAAGCCUCUAAGCAUCAGGUAACAUCAAAUCGUACCCCAAACCGACACAGGUGGUCAGGUAGAGAAUACCAAGGCGCUUGAGAGAACUCGGGUGAAGGAACUAGGCAAAAUGGUGCCGUAACUUCGGGAGAA